This 225-nucleotide unclassified non-coding RNA is filed under the name Hevea brasiliensis (rubber tree). The record is from RNAcentral. Lineage: Eukaryota; Viridiplantae; Streptophyta; Magnoliopsida; Malpighiales; Euphorbiaceae.
UUUAAUAUUUAACCAAUUUGCCUAACUUACUCGUAAAUUUGAAUUUACAUUAAUUAAUUUUUAGUGAAUAACUAUUUUACAAAAUUGACUACCCAAAGAUGCCAGUUAUAUUGUGUUUAGGGUGUUAAAAAAAAAAAAAAACAUGGUCAAUUUGUAUUUUUGCAUGUAGAGGUUUGCCACAAAUAACUAAACAAUGACUACUACAUGCAUAAAAUUGAGUUUUGU